GAUCAUGGCUCAGGAUGAACGCUAGCUACAGGCUUAACACAUGCAAGUCGAGGGGCAGCAUUUCAGUUUGCUUGCAAACUGGAGAUGGCGACCGGCGCACGGGUGAGUAACACGUAUCCAACCUGCCGAUAACUCGGGGAUAGCCUUUCGAAGAAAGAUAAUACCGAUGGUAUAAUUAGACCGCAUGGUCUUGUUAUUAAAGAAUUUCGGUUAUCGAUGGGGAGUGCGUUACAUUAGCG
RNAcentral lists this ribosomal RNA (239 nucleotides) under uncultured bacterium. RNAcentral's name for it is "partial 16S ribosomal RNA". It matches the Rfam family "Bacterial small subunit ribosomal RNA", at positions 15 to 246 of the family's 1533-position model. The record is from RNAcentral.